GAGACAACCCUAUGGGGCAAGACUUGCUUCAAUGGGGCUUUGGGCUCACUGAGUCUGCCCCCUGAGUGUGUCCUU
This 75-nucleotide microRNA precursor is filed under the name Myotis lucifugus (little brown bat). RNAcentral describes it as "mir-9229 microRNA precursor family". It matches the Rfam family "mir-9229 microRNA precursor family". The record is from Rfam by way of RNAcentral. Lineage: Eukaryota; Metazoa; Chordata; Mammalia; Chiroptera; Vespertilionidae.